UCCCACGUGCCAACCUCUCCCUUUCCUUCUCUGUCUCUCUCCAGUCUCUCAUUGCUAAAUCCCAGGGACAUCCACCCUCGUUCCCUGUCCCCCUCCAGCCCUUUUCCAGGCUCCUCUUCCAGCCUUUCCUGACCUCUCUGCCUUUCUUUGUGCCCCAGAUGAGUUUCCUGCUCCCCCGAAGCCCCUGAAGGCCUCAGACCUGGAUGACGGGCUCGGAUUCCUGCCAACCUUCGGCCCCUGCUACAUCAACCUCUACGGGAGCCCCCGGGAAUUCACGGGAUUCCCCGACCCCUACGAGACCCUCAACCUGGGAAAGGGAGAGGGCGUUGCCUACCGUGGCAGGGUGCUGGUGGAGCUGGAGACCAAACUGGUGGAGCACCUGGAGCAGAAGGUGGAGGAUAUUCCAGCGGAUGACGUCCUGAGG
Lepidothrix coronata (blue-crowned manakin) is the source of this 424-nucleotide long non-coding RNA. RefSeq lists it as uncharacterized. The transcript has 3 exons. The record is from RefSeq and is a predicted model, not a curated record. NCBI's taxonomy places the organism in Eukaryota, Metazoa, Chordata, Aves, Passeriformes, Pipridae.